RNAcentral lists this ribosomal RNA (253 nucleotides) under uncultured bacterium. RNAcentral describes it as "partial 16S ribosomal RNA". It matches the Rfam family "Bacterial small subunit ribosomal RNA", at positions 524 to 776 of the family's 1533-position model. The record is from RNAcentral.
UACGUAGGGAGCAAGCGUUGUUCGGAUUUACUGGGCGUAAAGGGCGCGUAGGCGGCAUAUUAAGUCAUCUGUGAAAUCUCGGAGCUUAACUCCGAAACUGCAUUCGAUACUGCCGUGCUUGAGGACUGGAGAGGAGACUGGAAUUUACGGUGUAGCGGUGAAAUGCGUAGAUAUCGUAAGGAAGACCAGUGGCGAAGGCGGGUCUCUGGACAGUUCCUGACGCUGAGGCACGAAGGUCAGGGGAGCAAACGGG